UAAUCAGAAAUUCAUAACCGUUACAAUAGCUAAUAACUUGAUUAACUUUUAAGUUACAAAUGAAAACUUCUAAAUG
This 76-nucleotide transfer RNA is filed under the name Shewanella piezotolerans WP3. RNAcentral's name for it is "tRNA-Glu". The record is from RNAcentral. Lineage: Bacteria; Pseudomonadati; Pseudomonadota; Gammaproteobacteria; Alteromonadales; Shewanellaceae.